Molecule: ribosomal RNA, 460 nt
Filed under: uncultured bacterium
Lineage: Bacteria
Description: partial 16S ribosomal RNA
Rfam family: Bacterial small subunit ribosomal RNA
Source: RNAcentral
CCUACGGGUGGCAGCAGUGAGGAAUAUUGGUCAAUGGGCGUGAGCCUGAACCAGCCAAGUCGCGUGAGGGAUGAAGGAUCUAUGGUUUGUAAACUUCUUUUAUAAGGGAAUAAAGGUCUCGACGCGUGGCUAUUUGCAUGUACCCUAUGAAUAAGCAUCGGCUAACUCCGUGCCAGCAGCCGCGGUAAUACGGAGGAUGCGAGCGUUAUCCGGAUUUAUUGGGUUUAAAGGGUGCGUAGGUUGCUUUUUAAGUCAGCGGUGAAAGUCUGUGGCUCAACCAUAAAAUUGCCGUUGAAACUGGAAGACUUGAGUGUGUUUGAGGUAGGCGGAAUGCGUGGUGUAGCGGUGAAAUGCAUAGAUAUCACGCAGAACUCCGAUUGCGAAGGCAGCCUACCAAGCCAUAACUGACACUGAAGCACGAAAGCGUGGGGAUCAAACAGGAUUAGAUACCCGGGUAGUC